UUUGCAUGUCUAUGCGAGCGUCCUAUCAGC
RNAcentral lists this non-coding RNA (30 nucleotides) under Mus musculus (house mouse). Lineage: Eukaryota; Metazoa; Chordata; Mammalia; Rodentia; Muridae. The record is from RNAcentral.